AUCCAUCAGAGUAUCAAUGUUCUUCCUCUCUCUCCUCCCCUCUCACUGCAGACAUGAAACACUGGCUGAGAAACAUCCUGAUUCUGACUCUCUGGCUAGAGUGUAAAGGAGCAGACAGAGUGAUCCAGCCAACAGGAGAUGUCAUUGCUGCUGAAGGAGACACAGUCACACUGGACUGCACAUUUGAGACCAGUGACCCAAAUUAUUAUCUCUUCUGGUACAAACAGGAUGGAAACAACAGCCCCAAAUUCAUGCUGAACCGUCCAAAGUUUGGUGCAGGGAACACAGAGAAGGAAUAUGAGGACAGAUUUUCAUCCACACUGGAUUCCACCUCAAACUCAGUUCCUCUGAAGAUCCAGAAGCUUCAGCUGUCUGACUCUGCUGUGUACUACUGUGCUCUGCAGCCCACAGUGACAGGAAACACCAAAACUCUGUACAAAAACCUUUGGAGCAAAGACAACACAAUACUCCACAACAUCCACUAGAGGGAGUC
This is a non-coding RNA of Acanthopagrus latus (yellowfin seabream), 493 nucleotides long. Lineage: Eukaryota; Metazoa; Chordata; Actinopteri; Spariformes; Sparidae. The record is from the annotation of a RefSeq genome assembly.